RNAcentral lists this ribosomal RNA (414 nucleotides) under Sympetrum vulgatum. RNAcentral describes it as "partial 16S ribosomal RNA". It matches the Rfam family "Archaeal large subunit ribosomal RNA", at positions 1977 to 2670 of the family's 2987-position model. The record is from RNAcentral. Lineage: Eukaryota; Metazoa; Arthropoda; Insecta; Odonata; Libellulidae.
CAAAAACAUGUCCUUAAGGUCUGACCUGCGGCCGCGGCCGUGCAAAGGUAGCAUAAUCAUUAGUCUUUUAAUAGAGGGCUGGAAUGAACGGUUUCACGAGGAACUGACUGUCUCAUUUUAUUUGAAAACUUAAUUUUUUAGUUAAAAAGCUAAAAUUUCAUUGGAAGACGAGAAGACCCUAUAGAUCUUUAUAUAUAUUUUGUUGGGGUGACAAAAAUAUUUUUCAUUUAUUUACCAUUGAUAUAUGAAUAUUAGAUCCAUUAUUAUUGAUUGUUAGAAUAAGUUACCUUAGGGAUAACAGCGUAAUCCUCCUCCAGAGUUCAUAUUUACUUGCGACCUCCGAUGUUGGAUUAAGAUAAUAAUUAGGUGUAGCCGCUUAAUUUAUAGGUCUGUUCGACCUUUAAAUUCUUACAU